This 253-nucleotide ribosomal RNA is filed under the name uncultured bacterium. RNAcentral describes it as "partial 16S ribosomal RNA". It matches the Rfam family "Bacterial small subunit ribosomal RNA", at positions 524 to 776 of the family's 1533-position model. The record is from RNAcentral.
UACGAGGGGCCCAAGCGUUAUUCGGAUUUACUGGGCUUAAAGAGUUCGUAGGCGGCGCGGAAAGUCGGGUGUGAAAGCCCUCGGCUCAACCGAGGAAUUGCGCUCUAAACUGCCGCGCUCGAGGAACCUAGAGGUGAGCAGAACUGAUGGUGGAGCGGUGAAAUGCGUUGAUAUCAUCAGGAAUACCGGAGGCGAAGGCGGCUCACUGGGGGUUAUCUGACGCUGAGGAACGAAAGCCAGGGGAGCAAACGGG